Molecule: ribosomal RNA, 1433 nt
Filed under: uncultured bacterium
Lineage: Bacteria
Description: bacterial SSU rRNA
Rfam family: Bacterial small subunit ribosomal RNA
Source: RNAcentral
AGAGUUUGAUCAUGGCUCAGAACGUACGCUGGCGGCACGCCUAACACAUGCAAGUCGAACGAAGUAGCAAUACUUAGUGGCAGACGGGUGAGUAACAUGUAGGUAUCUGCCCUUUGGCCUGGAAUAACACGAGGAAACUUGUGCUAAUACCGGAUAAGUCUUUACGGAGAAAGCUUUAUGCACCAUUGGAUGAGCCUGCACUUGAUUAGUUUGUUGGUGGGGUAAUGGCCUACCAAGACUGUGAUCAAUAGCUGAUUUGAGAGGAUGAUCAGCCACAUUGGGACUGAGACACGGCCCAAACUCCUACGGGAGGCAGCAGUGGGGAAUCUUGCACAAUGGAGGAAACUCUGAUGCAGCGAUGCCGCGUGAGUGAAGAAGGCCUUUGGGUUGUAAAGCUCUUUCGUCGGGGAAGAAAAUGACUGUACCCGAAUAAGAAGGUCCGGCUAACUUCGUGCCAGCAGCCGCGGUAAUACGAAGGGACCUAGCGUAGUUCGGAAUUACUGGGCUUAAAGAGUUCGUAGGUGGUUGAAAAAGUUAGUGGUGAAAUCCCAGAGCUUAACUCUGGAACUGCCAUUAAAACUUUUCAGCUAGAGUAUGAUAGAGGAAAGCAGAAUUUCUAGUGUAGAGGUGAAAUUCGUAGAUAUUAGAAAGAAUACCAAUUGCGAAGGCAGCUUUCUGGAUCAUUACUGACACUGAGGAACGAAAGCAUGGGUAGCGAAGAGGAUUAGAUACCCUCGUAGUCCAUGCCGUAAACGAUGUGUGUUAGACGUUGGAAAUUUAUUUUCAGUGUCGCAGGGAAACCGAUAAACACACCGCCUGGGGAGUACGACCGCAAGGUUAAAACUCAAAUGAAUUGACGGGGACCCGCACAAGUAGUGGAGCAUGUGGUUUAAUUCGAAGAUACGCGCAGAACCUUACCAACACUUGACAUGUUCGUCGCGACUCUAAGAGAUUAGAGUUUUCGGUUUGGCCGGACGAAACACAGGUGCUGCAUGGCUGUCGUCAGCUCGUGUCGUGAGAUGUUGGGUUAAGUCCCGCAACGAGCGCAACCCUCACUUUUAGUUGCCAUCAUUAAGUUGGGCACUCUGAAAGAACUGCCAGUGAUAAGCUGGAGGAAGGUGGGGAUGACGUCAAGUCCUCAUGGCCCUUACGUGUUGGGCUACACACGUGCUACAAUGGUAUCUACAACAGGAAGCAAGACUGCGAAGUUAAGCAAAUCCCUAAAAGAUACCUCAGUUCGGAUUGCACUCUGCAACUCGAGUGCAUGAAGCUGGAAUUACUAGUAAUCGUGGAUCAGCGUGCCACGGUGAAUGCGUUCCCGGGUCUUGUACACACCGCCCGUCACACCAUGGGAGUUGGUUCUACCUUAAGGCAAGGUUUUAAACCCUUGACCACGGUAUAGUCAGCGACUGGGGUGAAGUCGUAACAAGGUA